UUCAAGCCCUAGUACAGGUCAACCUCACUUUGCAAACACCGCUUUGCCCACUUCCUCAUCAGUGGAUUUAAGAGUUGUGGCAGGAGUCCAACAAACAGAUGAGAGCUUUCAAAUGGUACUUAUUUCUCCUACUGCCAACAACCAUCUUGGCUUUGCUCAUGGAGCCAAAAAUAUCUUUCAUACAAGCCACAAGGAGACUGUUGGCCUGGGUUAGAACCAAAACCAACUUCCAAAGACCAUAGUAUUUAUACUAAUAAGAGCUAAUAAGUGACUCUGUCAACAACCUCGCUGCGCUCAAUCCGAGAUGUCUCUUGCACACCACUCUGCAUCUGAGCAAGGAAUGAACCGUGUGGCUACACCGGUGGGAUUGCUGCACCAAUGCUUGCCUUUUCAGCUCUGGGGUUCUGCUAAAUUUCCAGAGAAAUAGAAUCAGAAGAUCUGAUUUUACAUUUCAGUACCUUGAACUUAGUGAGAAUUUUCAAAAAACGUUAUAAUAUUCAACGGUAAUUUAUGCAGAUAAGUAAACGGAUGCUUUUAAAGAACGUUUAAAGCUUGCACUAUCUUUUGGUAAACGUGAUUAGUGUUUCUUGCAGAGGAUUUGUGGGAGAAUUAACAUAUAGGCAAACAGAAUGUUUUUCCUUUCCUGUGUGUAAGAAUGCCUGUGUGUGGCCUUCCAUAUCUUAACAAAAUAAAGUUCACUCUAUUCCCCUCACUAAUUACACUCCAGCAGGUGAGGCCCUGGUUAACUGAUUUCCCCUGAGGGUGGGCCUUUUUAAGAACAGAGCUUGCUGGCAUAUUUUAAAAUGUUUCCUUUCCCCAUCUCCCUGCUGGAAACGUGAGAUUUCAGCAGAAAAAUCCCUGCUUGAUUUUUCUUCAAUAUGUGCUGUGGGACGUUGGUCAACUUCUUGGAGGGACUGCAGCCUGCCAGACUCCUCCAGCUCCUGCCAUGAGUUUCUCCAGGUGGGAGUCAGAAGCUUGUGUAGCGGGAGGCUUGGCAGGUGAGCCCAAGAGGAGCAAAGCAACGUGGGCAGAGCAGAGGGCUGUUUCCAGGAGGAUGUUGAGACGUGCUGCAGGAAGAAGAACCUGGACGCUCCAGAACUUGGGAAAGAUGUACCAGACGGUCUUGGAGUAAAUCUGGAAAUUACAAGAUGUGAGAUCAAAUGGAAGACCCAGCUGAGAAUGAGAACAAGAUCUUGCUGGGACAUAGCAGGACCUGAUAAAUCUCUGCUGAAUAUAUUUCAAGGACAGCCAAGGGGAGGGUUAAUUGCACAAUUUGGGUUUUGUGCAAAUAAAAUAUCUGCACUAAAUAUUUCAUUA
Long non-coding RNA from Bubalus bubalis (water buffalo), 1317 nucleotides. RefSeq lists it as uncharacterized. The record is from RefSeq and is a predicted model, not a curated record. NCBI's taxonomy places the organism in Eukaryota, Metazoa, Chordata, Mammalia, Artiodactyla, Bovidae. The transcript has 4 exons.